GACGAACGCUGGCGGCGUGCUUAACACAUGCAAGUCGAACGGAAAGGCCCUGCUUUUGUGGGGUGCUCGAGUGGCGAACGGGUGAGUAACACGUGAGUAACCUGCCCUUGACUUUGGGAUAACUUCAGGAAACUGGGGCUAAUACCGGAUAGGAGCUCCUGCUGCAUGGUGGGGGUUGGAAAGUUUCGGCGGUGGGGGAUGGACUCGCGGCUUAUCAGCUUGUUGGUGGGGUAGUGGCUUACCCAGGCUUUGACGGGUAGCCGGCCUGAGAGGGUGACCGGCCACAUUGGGACUGAGAUACGGCCCAGAGUCCUACGGGAGGCAGAAGUGGGGAAUAUUGCACAAUGGGCGGAAGCCUGAUGCAGCAACGCCGCGUGCGUGAUGACGGCCUUCGGGUUGUAAACCGCUUUCGCCUGUGACGAAGCGUGAGUGACGGUAAUGGGUAAAGAAGCACCGGCUAACUACGUG
RNAcentral lists this ribosomal RNA (468 nucleotides) under uncultured bacterium. RNAcentral's name for it is "partial 16S ribosomal RNA". It matches the Rfam family "Bacterial small subunit ribosomal RNA", at positions 28 to 507 of the family's 1533-position model. The record is from RNAcentral.